Molecule: signal recognition particle RNA, 266 nt
Filed under: Halolactibacillus halophilus
Lineage: Bacteria; Bacillati; Bacillota; Bacilli; Caryophanales; Bacillaceae
Description: Bacterial large signal recognition particle RNA
Rfam family: Bacterial large signal recognition particle RNA
About the family: The signal recognition particle (SRP) is a universally conserved ribonucleoprotein involved in the co-translational targeting of proteins to membranes.
Source: RNAcentral
CCGUGCUAGGUGGGGAGGUAGCGGUGCUCUGUACUCGCAAUCCGCUGUAGCGAGACUGAACCCCCAUCUGAGGCCCACAAUUUUAAGGUCUGCCAUAGGGAAUUGGUGUUGACGUUUGGGUCCUGCGCAACGGGAACCUGUGAAUCCUGUCAGAUCCGGAAGGAAGCAGCAGUAAGCAGUGACCUCUCGUGUGCCGUGGGGAAGCCUGGGCUGAGUCAUGAACCUAUGUAACGCUUGGUGUUGUGUGGUCGACGAUGGGUGCACGG